CACCUCCUCCACAACAGUUAGCGUGUCCCUUUUUUUCUCCCCACGUCGCAUCGCCUAUAUCCUUAUACAACCUAUAACUACAACGAAAUAGAAGACUGAUGAUUCAGAGAUCCAUGUCCUCUAACCGGCGCCGAUUCCACAAUAUCUUCCUUAGACUUCAUCUUCAUCUUAGUUGAUUUCUAUGCUCCAUGGUGUGCGUCAAUCACCUAAGGCUCCGAAGAAUAGUGGAAGGCGAGUGAAACUAUGUAGAAAACGGAGAAGUUAGUGAAUUUGUUGUUUAAGAAGAGGCAGGGGCAGUUUAGAAUCGGUGGAGCAGUCUCUGAAGAAGGAUGUGCAUAGGUUCGUAAAUGGUUGCAAGUUGGUUCGGACUGGGGAGAAUCUUCAAGCGGCGGAUGAAGGUACCGCCUGCCUUGAACCAGUCCGCCAUUCAACGGGAGCAUACUCAUAUCCUUUCUCAGUCCAUAAUGAAAGGAAAGGUGCGAAGAUUGGAUUCACCUCCUCACACCAUUCGAUAUGAAAGCUCUCUAGAUUAACGGAAAAGACACAACUCCAAGGUGAAACCCCAUCAGAUGUAUUCUUCCCUCAGUUGGAGAGUUGGUUAGUAUCAUCUGAAUACUUUCUGUUAGAGUUAAUUCAUAUAAUAAAUUAUUGCACUAGUGAAAUAUGUAGGAAAUAACCAUCCUUUAUAUAGUUAGUUAGUUGGGUAGCCACUGAUAUCAAUACUCUUACGGUAUUUGGGUUUAAUGAAUGCACUUCAUGGGCAUUCAGAGGUUUCACAUGAAAAUGUUCACGUUCCAGCUAAGAAUAUAUCUUGAUGGAAGGUCGUGGCCUUGAGAUUGCACAGGGUAGGUUGGAUCCCGGGAGGUUGCAUCACUGCAUGAGAUUAAUUGGUGCAGUAAAACAUGGGAUGCAAUUAGUGGUUCAGAGGUCUCUUCGAAGAAGAACAUUUGGGAAAUUAAUAGCUCUCAUGGUUCCUUUGUUUCUGAUUUAGCCAAGACCAACUUGAUCUGUUUCGAAACAAGAAAGCUCAUGGGGCCCUCGCAAUGGCGAAGGUAAACUUUGAUCCUCCCAUCAAAUUUAACCAUUUGUAUGAUAUUAAUGAAGUUUGGGGGUGAUAAAUCCGGUAAAAAGAAGUUUCAAAGAGAGUAACAGAUUGGCCAUAUGAUAAAAAUUUAGUAAUGAUGGGAGCAUUGGAUCUGAUAUUAUAUUGAGUAUUAUAUGCCUCUAGCUUCCUUUGAACUUGCACAUGCACAUUUGUACGGGAGCAUUGGAUUUGAUAUCAUGAAAUAAGCAUCUGAUGCUAUGUACAAUUAAGGUUUCUUCCAUUACCAAAAAAAGUAUAAAUACUUCUAGAUAUUGCUGCUAAGAUAUAAGUUGUUUUAAUGUAGUGUAUUUACUUUCCUAUGGAUAAAGUGGUUUAUAAGAAGGUUGUGGGGUGUGGCGUUGGCAAGGGGGUCGGUGAGUCCCAUGUGGCAUCAAUGCCGAAGGGGAACACCGCCCCCUUGUGUUCGGGCAAUUCUCCCCGACUGCAUUCUCUCUUUCUCUCUCUCUCUCUCUCUCUCUCUCUCUCUCUCUCUCUCUCUCUCUCUUUCUCUCUCUCUCUCUCUCUUGUAGGUUCUAUUCGGUGAAGAAAAGGCACCCCCCUUGGGAUGGGGAGGAAGAUGGUGUAAGGUGGAGGUGAUGUGGAGGAUGGGGGUGAUCGGUGGGCAAGCAACCACACCCCAUAGCCUAAUUGUACAUUCUUUGAGUCAUUUCAUAAGUUUGUUCAGUUUACUUUCUAAACAACAAUUUUGCAGGCAACUAUGGGCUUAAAUUUCUGCUCUUGAACUUGAGAUCGUCAUUGCAAUGCGGGACCUUGAAUACAAAACACGCAGGCUAAAAGCCGCCUGUGAAAAGAAUAAUGCUUCGGUAAGAAUUAUAAAUUUCGAUUACACUUAAUUCAAGUUAGCUUACUGAAAUUUUUGAACUUUUUUUAGUUUCAUACUAGCAUGUUGCUGAUUUAAGCUAUGCACAACUUAAUGAAGCUACGAAUAUACUUUUCAUGGCUUAAGAAAUUUUGAUUUUCUCUUACUCCAUCGAUCCUAUGAAAUAUCAACUAUUUAUGGGACAAUAGCUUAUGGGAAAUGUUUGAUUACUGGGUAAUUUCUUAGAUGCGGAUCAACAAACAAGAUAAGUGAGCCUUGCAUUUAGAGAUGAUCUGUUUACCUGUUUGACGGGUAAAUAUUUUUUUUAAUCUCAAAUGGGUCAGCUAAAAAAGAGGGUUGGCCACUUACCAUUGUCUUUUUCACUUAAGUAGAAACAUAACCCUUGAUCCAUCUCAAAACAGUUUGGACAAUCCGAAAUCAGCAAAUGAUCAUCCCAACAGAAUAUUAUUUGAUUUCAUGUCCCUGUGUAUAUGUUCAUUUUAUCUACCUCUGUCUAUAUUUGCAUAUUUAUUGUCACAGACACCUGGACUCAAAUUCCUUGAGGGGGACAGUGCCUCAAAAUCUAUCAAAUCUCAAAACUGUCCCUGAGUUGCAAGUGACAACACCAAAUCCAACUAAUUGUUUUUUUACUUAACUAGCAGAGUUGUUUAGUUUCAGGUAUUUAUCAAGCAAUAACCAAAGGGAUAAGACAUUAUGAAUGGUUUACUUGAUAAAAAAAUAGGCUAAUAUGUAAAAGAGAUGAGCUAGAUGCAACUUUUGUUUGUACAUAAAGCUUAUUUGGUUGCACAUAGGGAAACGCCUUGUGUACGUGAAGUUAUCACCUCAUGCAUUGUGUUUCGUCUUCAAGACCUCGCUUCACGUUUUUCUUUUAAGCCAAGGUAUAAAUUUUGUUGAGAGGACUAAACUUUGAGAUGUUUCUUAAUCUAGACUCAGCUACUUGAUUUGCCAUUUAAAUACGAGUCAAAGCAAUAGGGUCAGGUCGACCCGUCAUCUCUUUCUUAUGUUUUAGAGAGCGUCUCUUGCUGUUUGUAUUAAAGAUGUGCUAAAUUGCAAGUUUUUCUCAUUUUUUGCCAA
Long non-coding RNA from Helianthus annuus (common sunflower), 2999 nucleotides. RefSeq lists it as uncharacterized. Lineage: Eukaryota; Viridiplantae; Streptophyta; Magnoliopsida; Asterales; Asteraceae. The record is from RefSeq and is a predicted model, not a curated record. The transcript is spliced from 6 exons.